Molecule: transfer RNA, 69 nt
Filed under: Sphaerodactylus townsendi
Lineage: Eukaryota; Metazoa; Chordata; Lepidosauria; Squamata; Sphaerodactylidae
Description: tRNA-Ala
Source: RNAcentral
GCUGUAGUUCAGGGGUGGAGCAUCAGCUUGGCAUGGAGAAAGUCCCAGGUUCAGUUCCUGGCAUCUCCA